RNAcentral lists this ribosomal RNA (253 nucleotides) under uncultured bacterium. Its description in RNAcentral is "partial 16S ribosomal RNA". It matches the Rfam family "Bacterial small subunit ribosomal RNA", at positions 524 to 776 of the family's 1533-position model. The record is from RNAcentral.
UACAGAGGUCUCAAGCGUUGUUCGGAUUCAUUGGGCGUAAAGGGUGUGUAGGUGGCGCCGUAAGUCGGGUGUGAAAUUUCGGAGCUUAACUCCGAAACUGCAUUCGAUACUGCGGUGCUUGAGGACUGGAGAGGAGACUGGAAUUCAUGGUGUAGCAGUGAAAUGCGUAGAGAUCCGGAGGAACACCAGUGGCGAAGGCGCUGUCCUGGGCCGCAACUGACGCUGAGACGCGAAAGCAUGGGGAGCGAACGGG